UACCUUGCCAUGAACAGGAGAGUACUCAUUUCCGGAGGUCACAGAGAGUGGGGAGCAGGUGGGAGCCCCAUACGGAAAGAAACGGGGAAGUUCACCUGGGAGCAACCGGACUGAACGGAGUAGGUCCGGCGCCGGCCCCGUUAUCGGCCAGAUGAGUGAAAAAAUAGGGUGGUACCGCGAACCUUCGCCCCUUGU
This 195-nucleotide non-coding RNA is filed under the name Acidaminococcus fermentans. Its description in RNAcentral is "T-box sequence". It matches the Rfam family "T-box leader". From Rfam's summary of the family: Uncharged tRNA acts as the effector for transcription antitermination of genes in the T-box leader family. T-boxes are found upstream of many aminoacyl-tRNA synthetase genes and some amino acid biosynthetic genes usually in Gram-positive bacteria. The anticodon of a specific tRNA base pairs to a specifier sequence within the T-box motif, and the NCCA acceptor tail of the tRNA base pairs to a conserved bulge in the T-box antiterminator hairpin. Lineage: Bacteria; Bacillati; Bacillota; Negativicutes; Acidaminococcales; Acidaminococcaceae. The record is from RNAcentral.